Molecule: long non-coding RNA, 1158 nt
Filed under: Mytilus galloprovincialis (Mediterranean mussel)
Lineage: Eukaryota; Metazoa; Mollusca; Bivalvia; Mytilida; Mytilidae
Source: RNAcentral
AUUUUAUUUCAACUUUAUAAAUAUAAAUGUUUCAAUCAGUAAUACAAAUAUCACAAGGACAAGUCGCCGACACUAACACUAAAUUUAAAUUAGAAUUGUCAGAGUAAAAACAUGAACUAUAACACUAUAAUCAUGAUAAACUAGCCAACAUUCGGAAGUAACUUGUUUUGUAGCUUUUUUGUAUACUGUAACAGUUGUUUUUCAAUUAUAUGGUAAGUCUUGGAAAUUAUCACAUUGGCAAGCACAUCACAUGUCCUUAUUUUUGUGUCAUAUGAUAAAUAAAUGACAAUUUAUUAAUCAAUAUUAUGAUAUUAUUUUUGUGCUUGAAUAUUUGUGAACAAAGACGGCAAGUGAACACCCGAUUUCAGCUCUAAACAAUUACUUUCAAAUAUAAACCCUUUAAGAAGAUUCUGAAACUGUCAUUAAAUGAAAUUAAUUUGCUGAACAUAUUAAUAUGAAGCUAAAAUGAUUGCAUUCGCCUCAGUGUAACCAUUAGUAUGCUGUUUGUAUAAGAAAUGUUUAAGAUACUAAAUAAACAAACACAGAAUGAUAAAUUUUGUUGGAAUAUUAACAAACGAUUGUAUAACUUCGGUAAGAUUUAUCUGUUUUUAUCUAAACACAAACAGAUCCAUUGACCUAAAGACGGUGAACCUUUAUCAGUUAUCUGACCAAAAGAAAACAUUCGAUAUACUCAAUCGGCCAAGGUCUUAACAAUUUUGCUUUUCUUUUAGGUAAAGCGUUGAGUCGCAGCGGCGAUUUAGCAACAAUGGAAGUCCAGGCGAAACCAAUUCUUCCUACAACAGAAAAAGACCCAUCUGAUUUGGAUCAGCAACCACGUGUUUACAAGAGACGAUGGAUGAUUGUGUUUUUGUUCGCCUUCUACUCUCUCAGUAACGCAUACCAGUGGAUACAUCUAAACAUUAUAGGCGACGUGAUAUUAAAAUAUUACAAUGCUAGCAUGCCAGAGGAUCAAUUUCAAAGGGAAACCACACUAGACUGGUUAUCUAUGGUUUAUAUGCUAGCAUAUAUACCGUUGAUAUUUCCCGCCACGUGGCUACUUAACAAAAAAGGCCUCCGUGUUGUUGCGAUUUGUGGUUGUUUUCUUAAUGCACUUGGGGCAUGGCUCAAAGUAGCAUGUGUGAGUCCAGACAGAUUCCC